GAUGAACGCUAGCUACAGGCUUAACACAUGCAAGUCGAGGGGAAACGAUAUUGGAAGCUUGCUUCCGAUAGGCGUCGACCGGCGCACGGGUGAGUAACGCGUAUCCAACCUGCCCAUCACUUGGGGAUAACCUUGCGAAAGUAAGACUAAUACCCAAUGACGUCUCUAGAAGACAUCUGAAAGAGAUUAAAGAUUUAUCGGUGAUGGAUGGGGAUGCGUCUGAUUAGCUUGUUGGCGGGGUAAACGGCCCACCAAGGCGACGAUCAGUAGGGGUUCCCGAGAGGAAGGUCCCCCACAUUGGAACUGAGACACGGUCCAAACUCCUACGGGAGGCAGCAGUGAGGAAUAUUGGCAAUGGACGAGAGUCUGAACCAGCCAAGUAGCGUGCAGGAUGACGGCCCUAUGGGUUGUAAACUGCUUUAU
This 423-nucleotide ribosomal RNA is filed under the name uncultured bacterium. Its description in RNAcentral is "bacterial SSU rRNA". It matches the Rfam family "Bacterial small subunit ribosomal RNA", at positions 28 to 438 of the family's 1533-position model. The record is from RNAcentral.